GCGGGCGUAGCUCAGUUGGUAGAGCGUCAGUUUGUGGUACUGAAUGUCGCCAGUUCAAUUCUGGUCGCUCGCCCCA
Molecule: transfer RNA, 76 nt
Filed under: Wolbachia pipientis
Lineage: Bacteria; Pseudomonadati; Pseudomonadota; Alphaproteobacteria; Rickettsiales; Anaplasmataceae
Description: tRNA-His
Rfam family: tRNA
About the family: Transfer RNA (tRNA) molecules are approximately 80 nucleotides in length. Their secondary structure includes four short double-helical elements and three loops (D, anti-codon, and T loops).
Source: RNAcentral